This 774-nucleotide ribosomal RNA is filed under the name uncultured Neocallimastigales. Its description in RNAcentral is "partial large subunit ribosomal RNA". It matches the Rfam family "Eukaryotic large subunit ribosomal RNA", at positions 24 to 620 of the family's 3401-position model. Lineage: Eukaryota; Fungi; Neocallimastigomycota; Neocallimastigomycetes; Neocallimastigales. The record is from RNAcentral.
GUAGUCUCGCACAGAUGCAUAUCAAUAAGCGGAGGAAAAGAAACUAACAAGGAUUCCCUUAGUAACGGCGAGUGAAGCGGGAAGAGCUCAAAUUUGAAAUCUUCAAGGUUUUACCUUGACGAAUUGUAGUUUAAAGAAGUGUUUUCUGUUGAAGUUUUGGUAAAAGUUCUUUGGAAUAGGACAUCAUAGAGGGUGAGAAUCCCGUAUUUGACCAUUAUUUUCAGCUGUGUGAUACACUUUCAAAGAGUCGGAUUGUUUGGGAAUGCAGUCCAAAAUGGGUGGUAAAUUUCAUCUAAAGCUAAAUAUUGGCGAGAGACCGAUAGCGAACAAGUACCGUGAGGGAAAGAUGAAAAGAACUUUGAAAAGAGAGUUAAACAGUACGUGAAAUUGUCAAAAGGGAAGCGUUUGACACCAGUGUUGUUUUCUCGAAAAUCAAUUAAAAAGAGUUAGAUUUUGUUGUGUAUUGACCUUAACAGCUUGCAUUUCAAUUUUCUUGCUUUUUUUAAUGCACUUUUCGUUUAACAAGUCAACAUCAGUUUCUUUUGUUGUAAAAAGGUCAUUGGAAGGUGGCUUUCUUUUCGGAGAAAGUGUUUAUAGCCUUUGACUCCUGCAAUCGGAGAGACUGAGGUCUGCAGCGUAGAUCCUUCGGGGUUAGAUACAUUUGUGCUAAGUUAUAGCUUUUUAUAGACAACUUGUUGACUAUGAUUAGUCUUGUAGCUUACUCGCUUAUGCUAUUUUACCUACGCUUAGGAUGUUGAAGAUGUAGCACAUCAU